Molecule: ribosomal RNA, 393 nt
Filed under: Globigerinoides ruber albus
Lineage: Eukaryota; Foraminifera; Rotaliida; Globigerinidae
Description: SSU rRNA
Rfam family: Eukaryotic small subunit ribosomal RNA
Source: RNAcentral
CUUAGUUCGUGGAGUGAUCUGUCUGCUUAAUUGCGUUUCAAAAUUUAACUUGAGGACCGGGUUUUGGUUUGGCUAGUGGUCCUACGAUGACUGUGAACUGUCAUGUCUUCGGAUGUACGACUAUCGGUCUAGGAUCACAUGACUUGCCCCUGGGACUCUUUUGAACGCAACGGACGUGAUUGCAACCCCUUGUUGAGAUUAGAGAUAGUCUCGAUAUUCACUGGCCAAACUGGCUGCUUUAUGCAGUCUUGUUGAAUGGUGGAUAAACUCGGGGGACUGCUGACUAUAACCAUUUCUCAAAACAGAGGAAGGUUGCGGCAAUAACAGGUCUGUGAUGCCCUCAGAUGUCCCGGGCUGCACACGUGCUACAAUGAGUGGCGCAAUGUGCUAAUG